AAAAAAUCCAAAAAAAAUCUUUUUUUCUUCUUCUCUUGGAGUUGGUAAAUAGGGAGAGAAAGUGGAAAAUUCGAAAACCAUCAUUUUUUCGUCCUAACCUUUCAUUUCAUUUACAUAGAGAGACAGAGAGACACAGAAAGAAUUUUUCUUUCAUCUGUCGGGUAUUGCUCUAAAUUUUAGAAUAUUUUUAUUUCAUAUUUCUUAUAUCAUAUGAUCGAUGAUCGAAGAUGGGUUUUGUGCAGCCAUAUUCAUUCUCCGAUUAUAAAGUUCCCAGUGUUGCUGUUGUUGAAGUUGUCUGUUAAUCAGAAUCCGCCGCAUCUCCGACAAUCUUAACCGGAGAAUCUCUUGUUCCGUCAAGAGCCGGUUAUUGUCCGUAUUCACUCGUUGAAGC
RNAcentral lists this long non-coding RNA (391 nucleotides) under Eutrema salsugineum. RNAcentral's name for it is "long non-coding RNA (ESAL_LNC002012)". Lineage: Eukaryota; Viridiplantae; Streptophyta; Magnoliopsida; Brassicales; Brassicaceae. The record is from RNAcentral.